RNAcentral lists this ribosomal RNA (79 nucleotides) under Pseudosperma niveivelatum. Its description in RNAcentral is "Inocybe niveivelata partial 5.8S ribosomal RNA". It matches the Rfam family "5.8S ribosomal RNA", at positions 79 to 154 of the family's 154-position model. Rfam says of the family: 5.8S ribosomal RNA (5.8S rRNA) is a component of the large subunit of the eukaryotic ribosome. The record is from RNAcentral. Lineage: Eukaryota; Fungi; Basidiomycota; Agaricomycetes; Agaricales; Inocybaceae.
AUUCAGUGAAUCAUCGAAUCUUUGAACGCAUCUUGCGCUCCUUGGUAUUCUGAGGAGCAUGCCUGUUUGAGUGUCAUUA